This 468-nucleotide ribosomal RNA is filed under the name uncultured bacterium. RNAcentral's name for it is "partial 16S ribosomal RNA". It matches the Rfam family "Bacterial small subunit ribosomal RNA", at positions 28 to 507 of the family's 1533-position model. The record is from RNAcentral.
GACGAACGCUGGCGGCGUGCUUAACACAUGCAAGUCGAACGGAAAGGCCCUGCUUUUGUGGGGUGCUCGAGUGGCGAACGGGUGAGUAACACGUGAGUAACCUGCCCUUGACUUUGGGAUAACUUCAGGAAACUGGGGCUAAUACCGGAUAGGAGCUCCUGCUGCAUGGUGGGGGUUGGAAAGUUUCGGCGGUUGGGGAUGGACUCGCGGCUUAUCAGCUUGUUGGUGGGGUAGUGGCUUACCAAGGCUUUGACGGGUAGCCUGCCUGAGAGGGUGACCGGCCACAUUGGGACUGAGAUACGGCCCAGACUGCUACGGGAGGCAGCAGUGGGGAAUAUUGCACAAUGGGCGGAAGCCUGAUGCAGCAACGCCGCGUGCGGGAUGACGGCCUUCGGGUUGUAAACCGCUUUCGCCUGUGACGAAGCGUGAGUGACGGUAAUGGGUAAAGAAGCACCGGCUAACUACGUG